RNAcentral lists this ribosomal RNA (253 nucleotides) under uncultured bacterium. Its description in RNAcentral is "partial 16S ribosomal RNA". It matches the Rfam family "Bacterial small subunit ribosomal RNA", at positions 524 to 776 of the family's 1533-position model. The record is from RNAcentral.
UACAGAGGGUGCGAGCGUUGUUCGGAAUUAUUGGGCGUAAAGGGCGCGUAGGCGGCGCCACAAGUCACCUGUGAAAACUCUGGGCUUAACUCAGAGCCUGCAGGCGAAACUGUGGUGCUGGAGUAUGGGAGAGGUGCGUGGAAUUCCCGGUGUAGCGGUGAAAUGCGCAGAUAUCGGGAGGAACACCAAUGGCGAAGGCAGCUCGCUGGGACGUGACUGACGCUGAGACGCGAAAGCGUGGGGAGCAAACAGG